GAUCAAGCUACUAAGAGCUUAUGGUGAAUGCCUUGGUGCCAAGAGGCGAUGAAGGACGUAGUAAGUUGCGAUAAGCCACGGGGAGCCGCAAACAGGCUUUGAUCCGUGGAUCUCCGAAUGGGACAACCCAGUCAGCUUUACCGCUGAUUAUCGUCCGGAUGAAUUCAUAGUCCGGCGAAGCAAAACGGGGUGAAGUGAAACAUCUCAGUAACCCCAGGAAAAGAAAACGAAAUGAUUCCGUGAGUAGUGGCGAGCGAAAGCGGAGAAGGCUAAACCGGGAGGACUUGUCCUUCCGGGGUUGUGGGACCUUAAUAUGAUAGGUGGAUAGCGAGCUUAAUCAUCUGGAAAGAUGAGCCAUAGACCGUGACAGCCGGGUGAGCGAAGUUUGAAGCCGUCUAGAGGUAUCCCAAGUAACACGGUGCACGUGAAACUCUGUGUGAAUCUGUGCGGACCACCGCAUAAGCCUAAAUACUACUUGGCAACCGAUAGUGAACUAGUACCGCGAGGGAAAGGCGAAAAGAACCGCUGUUAGCGGAGUGAAAUAGAACCUGAAACCAUAUGCUUACAAUGUGUUGGAGCCACGCAAGUGGUGACAGCUUGCCUUUUGCAUAAUGAGUCUGCGAGUUAUUGUCAGUGGCCAGCCUAAAUCUCUCUGAGAU
RNAcentral lists this ribosomal RNA (659 nucleotides) under Anaerolineaceae bacterium. Its description in RNAcentral is "partial 23S ribosomal RNA". It matches the Rfam family "Bacterial large subunit ribosomal RNA", at positions 1 to 661 of the family's 2925-position model. Lineage: Bacteria; Bacillati; Chloroflexota; Anaerolineae; Anaerolineales; Anaerolineaceae. The record is from RNAcentral.